This 69-nucleotide transfer RNA is filed under the name Ictidomys tridecemlineatus (thirteen-lined ground squirrel). RNAcentral describes it as "Spermophilus tridecemlineatus (thirteen-lined ground squirrel) tRNA". It matches the Rfam family "tRNA". Rfam says of the family: Transfer RNA (tRNA) molecules are approximately 80 nucleotides in length. Their secondary structure includes four short double-helical elements and three loops (D, anti-codon, and T loops). The record is from Rfam by way of RNAcentral. Lineage: Eukaryota; Metazoa; Chordata; Mammalia; Rodentia; Sciuridae.
GGAGCUGUGGCUCAGUGGCAGAGCACUCACCUCACAUGUGUGAGGCACUGGGUUGGAUCCUCAGCACCA